UACGGAGGGUGCAAGCGUUAAUCGGAAUUACUGGGCGUAAAGCGCACGCAGGUGGCUGAGUCAGUCGAUUGUGAAAGCCCUGGGCUUAACCUGGGAAUUGCGCUUGAAACUAGCGGGCUUGAGUGUGGCAGAGGGGGGUGGAAUUCCACGUGUAGCAGUGAAAUGCGUAGAGAUGUGGAGGAACACCGAUGGCGAAGGCAGCCCCCUGGGUCAACACUGACGCUCAUGCACGAAAGCGUGGGGAGCAAACAGG
RNAcentral lists this ribosomal RNA (253 nucleotides) under uncultured bacterium. RNAcentral describes it as "partial 16S ribosomal RNA". It matches the Rfam family "Bacterial small subunit ribosomal RNA", at positions 524 to 776 of the family's 1533-position model. The record is from RNAcentral.